GAACACGGAAGUUAAGCCCUUCUGCGCUGAUGAUACUUCGGGGGCAACCCCGUGGGAAAGUAGGUCACUGCCGGGA
This 76-nucleotide ribosomal RNA is filed under the name Candidatus Poribacteria bacterium. The record is from RNAcentral. Lineage: Bacteria; Candidatus Poribacteria.